UACCAGCACCCCCGAGUGGUCGGGACGUUUUAUUGGGCCUAAAGCAUCCGUAGCCGGUUCUACAAGUCUUCCGUUAAAAUCCACCUGCUUAACAGAUGGGCUGCGGAAGAUACUAUAGAGCUAGGAGGCGGGAGAGGCAAGCGGUACUCGAUGGGUAGGGGUAAAAUCCGUUGAUCCAUUGAAGACCACCAGUGGCGAAGGCGGCUUGCCAGAACGCGCUCGACGGUGAGGGAUGAAAGCUGGGGGGAGCAAACCGG
RNAcentral lists this ribosomal RNA (257 nucleotides) under uncultured bacterium. RNAcentral describes it as "partial 16S ribosomal RNA". It matches the Rfam family "Archaeal small subunit ribosomal RNA", at positions 474 to 727 of the family's 1478-position model. The record is from RNAcentral.